UAGUUGGUAUCUCAGUGGUAGAGUGCCUGCUUUGUAUGUAUGAUGUCCUGGGUUCAAUCCCCAGCUUCUUCC
Molecule: transfer RNA, 72 nt
Filed under: Dallia pectoralis (Alaska blackfish)
Lineage: Eukaryota; Metazoa; Chordata; Actinopteri; Esociformes; Umbridae
Description: tRNA-OTHER
Rfam family: tRNA (bases 7-65)
About the family: Transfer RNA (tRNA) molecules are approximately 80 nucleotides in length. Their secondary structure includes four short double-helical elements and three loops (D, anti-codon, and T loops).
Source: RNAcentral